RNAcentral lists this ribosomal RNA (2198 nucleotides) under Fidelibacterota bacterium. Its description in RNAcentral is "partial 23S ribosomal RNA". It matches the Rfam family "Bacterial large subunit ribosomal RNA", at positions 1 to 2126 of the family's 2925-position model. The record is from RNAcentral. Lineage: Bacteria; Pseudomonadati; Fidelibacterota.
GGUAAAGCUACUAAGAGCGUAUGGAGGAUGCCUAGGCACAUGGAGGCGAUGAAGGACGUGGUAAGCUGCGAUAAGCUUCGGGUAGGUGCAAACAACCUUAAAUCCGGAGAUUUCCGAAUGGGAAAACCCAGCCCGGGUUAUGCCGGGUUACUCCCACCUGAAUAUAUAGGGUGGGUAGAGCCAACGGGGAGAACUGACACAUCUAAGUACCCCCAGGAAGAGAAAAUACUAAUGAUUUCCCUAGUAGCGGCGAGCGAACAGGAAAGAGCCUAAACCGUUAACGUGUCAAGCCCAAGAGCGUUGCGCUAACGGUGUUGUGGGACUGGAAUAGAGUCAAUCUUGGACGACUCGACAAGUCAAAAAAUCAAUCGUUAGAUGAAGUGGUAUGGAAAGACCAGCCAUAGAAGGUGAUAGCCCUGUAAUCAAAAACGAGCGAUCUUGUUGAUUCCAGAUCCCGAGUAACACGGAACACGAGAAAUUUUGUGUGAAUCUGCCGGGACCAUCCGGUAAGGCUAAAUACUCCCAUGUGACCGAUAGUGAACUAGUACCGUGAGGGAAAGGUGAAAAGUACUCCUAGCGGAGAGUGAAAUAGAACCUGAAACCGUGCGCUUACAAGCGGUCGGAGCUCCGAUUCGUCGGGGUGACGGCGUGCCUUUUGCAUAAUGAUCCAGCGAGUUGCUCGUAUGUUGCGAGGUUAAGAUCCAAAGAUCGAAGCCAUAGGGAAACCGAGUCUGAAUAGGGCGUUUAGUAGCAUGCGGCAGACCCGAAACCGAGUGAUCUAGCCAUGGCCAGGUUGAAGUUCCGGUAACACGGAAUGGAGGACCGAACCCACCAGCGUUGAAAAGCUGGGGGAUGAGCUGUGGCUAGGGGUGAAAGGCCAAUCAAACUCGGAGAUAUCUGGUUCUCGUCGAAAUGCCUUUAGGGGCAGCGUUGUAUUAAUGUAUCGGGGGUAGAGCACUGAAUGGGCUAGGGGGCCUACAAGCUUACCAACCCCAAUUAAACUCCGAAUACCGAAUACAUGAUGUACAGCAGUGAGGCUACGGGUGAUAAGAUUCGUAGCCGAGAGGGAAACAACCCAGACCAUCAGCUAAGGUCCCUAAAUUGAUACUAAGUGAUAAAGGAUGUGGAAUCGCCCAGACAGCUAGGAGGUUGGCUUAGAAGCAGCCAUCCUUUAAAGAAAGCGUAAUAGCUCACUAGUCAAGGGGUUCUGCGCCGAUAAUUUCCGGGACUAAGUAUCAUACCGAAGCUAUGGGAUUCAUUCGAUUAGAAUGGAUCGGUAGACGAGCGUUCUAUUAACCUGCGAAGGUUGACCCGUGAGGGCAGCUGGAGGAGAUAGAAAUGAGUAUGCUGGAAUGAGUAGCGAUAAAGCCUGUGAAAUACAGGCUCGCCGUAAGCCCAAGGUUUCCUGAGUAAAGUUAAUCUGCUCAGGGUUAGUCGGACCCUAAGCCGAGGCCGAAAGGCGUAGGCGAUGGAAAACAGGUUUAAUAUUCCUGUACCAGUUUAAUAUUGUUUGAACUAUGGGGGGACGCAGAAGUGAAAGGAGAUCCCGGUUUUGAUUGUCCGGGUUUAAGUGUGUAGGGAGUUCUGGUAGGUAAAUCCGCCGGAACAUUAUCCUGAGGCACGAACAGGAGGGCCUAGCCCAUAAACUCUCCCUAAUCAUGCUGCCAAGAAAAUCCUCUAUGUUAGAUAUUAGACUGACCGUACCGUAAACGGACACACGUAGGCGAGGAGAGAAUCCUAAGGCGCUUGAGAGAAUCCAAGUAAAGGAACUCGGCAAAUUAGCCCCGUAACUUCGGGAGAAGGGGUGCCACUUGAGGAAACGGACUUCGCGUCCUGAUUUUUGAGUGGUCGCAGUGACCAGGCCCAAACGACUGUUUAACAAAAACACAGGUCUCUGCUAAGUCGUAAGACGAAAUAUAGGGACUGACACCUGCCCGGUGCUGGAAGGUUAAAUGGAGAGGUUAGCUUCGGCGAAGCUUUGAAAUGAAGCCCCAGUAAACGGCGGCCGUAACUAUAACGGUCCUAAGGUAGCGAAAUUCCUUGUCGGGUAAGUUCCGACCUGCACGAAUGGUGUAACGAUUUGGGCACUGUCUCUACUUGGAGCUCAGCGAAAUUGAAGUGUCGGUGAAGAUGCCGGCUACCCGCGGCCGGACGAAAAGACCCCGUGAACCUUUACUACAACUUAGCAUUGGAUUCUG